Molecule: long non-coding RNA, 631 nt
Organism: Gallus gallus (chicken)
Lineage: Eukaryota; Metazoa; Chordata; Aves; Galliformes; Phasianidae
Source: Ensembl
AACAGCCAGAGGUGGAAGGGCUCAUAUAAAAAGAGAAAAGGUGAUAAUGGAAGUGUCUGCAUGUUCUACCAGCCAAAGAUAUAUCGCCAUUACAAAGGAAAAUCACUGAAUGAUGGAAGGUGAUGGAGGCCCAGCGUGGUGCCGAAUACAUACAGCAAUGGGUUGUGAAGUCACCAACUAAAGCAGUGGCAGCGGUCAGUGAUAGAAGACUGAUCUCACCGAUUCUCAUGUAUAUAUUUAGGCACCAGCAGAAACUUGCAUGGAUUUGUGCCUGGGCUGCAAUUGAGCACAGCUGCGAGACUUGGAACACUGAAAAACACCUUCAUUGGGUUGUUCUAUGUGGCUGCUGGUGGCAGUUCCUGGUGCCCAUCCCACAGCAUUUCCCUCACUCUGCCUGGCUCAAGCAGUCAUGGCCCCACAGCGUGCACCGGCAGCAGUGGAAUUUGUGACACCUCCUGCGGCUGUAGUGCCAGUGAAGGGAGCAGCUUCCCAACCUCAUCUCUCCCCAGCCCACCACACAGCCCAGGGCCAUGGAGGUGCCAUCAUACAUUUGCCAACAUAUAUCCCAUCUGUGGGCGCAGUUGGGAUGAUGUUACCUAUGUGACCCUGUCUCCACCACCUUUGCCAUGGC